RNAcentral lists this ribosomal RNA (251 nucleotides) under uncultured bacterium. RNAcentral's name for it is "partial 16S ribosomal RNA". It matches the Rfam family "Bacterial small subunit ribosomal RNA", at positions 525 to 775 of the family's 1533-position model. The record is from RNAcentral.
AGGGAGGGUGCGAGCGUUAAUCGGAAUCACUGGGCGUAAAGCGCGCGUAGGCGGCUUUGUAAGUCGGAUGUGAAAUCCCCGAGCUUAACUUGGGAAUUGCAUUCGAUACUGGGAAGCUAGAGUAUGGGAGAGGAUGGUAGAAUUCCAGGUGUAGCGGUGAAAUGCGUAGAGAUCUGGAGGAAUACCGAUGGCGAAGGCAGCCAUCUGGCCUAAUACUGACGCUGAGGUACGAAAGCAUGGGGAGCAAACAG